This is a long non-coding RNA of Mauremys reevesii (Reeves's turtle), 683 nucleotides long. RefSeq lists it as uncharacterized. Lineage: Eukaryota; Metazoa; Chordata; Testudines; Geoemydidae. The transcript has 2 exons. The record is from RefSeq and is a predicted model, not a curated record.
CUUGUGAUAAAGGUGGUAGGCAAACCCAUCGACUGUUGGGAAACCAAAAUCCUUUAUCAAGUGACUGAACACCUGUGGAUGCAGUUACCAUUCUGGAUGAUCCAACUUUGCCUGCUGAGCCAGUUGGCCAUAACAUUCAAUUUUGCCUUUCACAUGAAAGGAUGUAUUUGGUCACAAACACUAACGUCAGGAGACUGGAACUAACCUGUUGGACAUCCUGUUGAAAAACACAGAGCUGAAGCCGUUGGUGCAGGCGGACCUUCCGAUGCUGCCAAAUGUUCUCCAGUUGUCGCUGGUGGUGCAGUACUUCAUGGAUGACAUCCAGGACAUGAUGCACUGCCUUGGAGUAGUUAGCAGAAGCUGUUAAUGAGUCAGAGCUUCCAGGAGUCAAAGGUCGCUGAAGUUUGUCAAGUAACGACUUCCCAUCUUGGCUCACCUGACCGGCAAGAAGGAUGAAGAAUUAAGUUUCUGUUCGAAAGCUCAUUAAUGAACGCAUACUACAAAAUUAUAUAGAACAGAUUAAUCGAAGACAUGGCAGCUAGCAUUCUCCACCUCUAAUCCCGGAGUGGGAACACACUGCUGUUACAACAGAUAGUGCAGAGAAAAUUACAUAUACAGUGUCCACUGUAUGCAUUAAGUUACUGUUCUGAAACAAUGGCCUACCAAUAAAGCUAAUUUUCCUA